RNAcentral lists this transfer RNA (75 nucleotides) under Actinobacillus pleuropneumoniae. RNAcentral describes it as "tRNA-Val(tac)". It matches the Rfam family "tRNA". From Rfam's summary of the family: Transfer RNA (tRNA) molecules are approximately 80 nucleotides in length. Their secondary structure includes four short double-helical elements and three loops (D, anti-codon, and T loops). Further hydrogen bonds mediate the characteristic L-shaped molecular structure. tRNAs have two regions of fundamental functional importance: the anti-codon, which is responsible for specific mRNA codon recognition, and the 3' end, to which the tRNAs corresponding amino acid is attached (by aminoacyl-tRNA synthetases). tRNAs cope with the degeneracy of the genetic code in two manners: having more than one tRNA (with a specific anti-codon) for a particular amino acid; and 'wobble' base-pairing, i.e. permitting non-standard base-pairing at the 3rd anti-codon position. The record is from RNAcentral. RNAcentral also lists the same sequence under 1 other name. Lineage: Bacteria; Pseudomonadati; Pseudomonadota; Gammaproteobacteria; Pasteurellales; Pasteurellaceae.
GGAGGCUUAGCUCAGCUGGGAGAGCAUCUGCCUUACAAGCAGAGGGUCGGGGGUUCGAUCCCUCAGCCUCCACCA